This 302-nucleotide ribosomal RNA is filed under the name uncultured bacterium. RNAcentral's name for it is "partial 16S ribosomal RNA". It matches the Rfam family "Bacterial small subunit ribosomal RNA", at positions 508 to 807 of the family's 1533-position model. The record is from RNAcentral.
GCAGUCGCCGCGGGAAUACGAAGGGGGCCAGCGUUGCUCGGAAUUACUGGGCGUAAAGGGCGCGUAGGCGGACAGUUCAGUCGGGGGUGAAAGCCCGGGGCUCAACCUCGGAAUUGCCUUCGAUACUGGCUGUCUUGAGUAUGGGAGAGGUGUGUGGAACUCCGAGUGUAGAGGUGAAAUUCGUAGAUAUUCGGAAGAGCACCAGUGGCGGAGGCGACACACUGGCUCAUUACUGACGCUGAGGCGCGAAAGCGUGGGGAGCAAACAGGAUUAGAUACCCCAGUAGUCCCUGUCUCUUAUAC